UACGUAGGGAGCAAGCGUUAUCCGGAUUUACUGGGUGUAAAGGGCGUGUAGGCGGGCCUGUAAGUUGGGAGUGAAAUCCGGGGGCUUAACCCCCGAACUGCUUUCAAAACUGCGGGUCUUGAGUGAUGGAGAGGCAGGCGGAAUUCCCCGUGUAGCGGUGAAAUGCGUAGAUAUUGGGAGGAACACCAGUGGCGAAGGCGGCCUGCUGGACAUUAACUGACGCUGAGGCGCGAAAGCGUGGGGAGCAAACAGG
RNAcentral lists this ribosomal RNA (253 nucleotides) under uncultured bacterium. Its description in RNAcentral is "partial 16S ribosomal RNA". It matches the Rfam family "Bacterial small subunit ribosomal RNA", at positions 524 to 776 of the family's 1533-position model. The record is from RNAcentral.